This 788-nucleotide long non-coding RNA is filed under the name Marmota monax (woodchuck). The record is from RNAcentral. Lineage: Eukaryota; Metazoa; Chordata; Mammalia; Rodentia; Sciuridae.
GGAGUAGGGAGUAGCUGCUGAUGGGCGUGGGUUUAUCUUUGGGGUGAUGAAAAUAUUCUUAAAAUCGACUGUGGGGAUGAUAGAACAACAAUGUGAACAUACUAAGCACCAUGGAAUUUAAAAGUACAUUUUAGUUUUUAAUGUUUUUUUUUUAGUUAUAGGUGGACACAAUACCUUUUAUUUUAUUUUUAUGUGGCGCUGAGGAUUGAACCCCCAGUGCCCCACCUCUGAACCACAAACCCAGCCCUUUAAAGUACAUUUUAAAGUGGUUAGUUCUAUGUUCUAUGAAUUUUACCUUUAAAAAAUGCCACCAGCCAGGUGUGGUGACUCAUGCCUGUUAUCCCAGGUGCUUGGGAGCCUGUGUUAUCCCAGGUGCUUGGGAGCCUGAGACAAGAGGAUCAGAAGUUCAAGGCCCACCUCAGAAACUUAGCAAGGCUCUAAGCCACUUAGUGAGAACCUGUUUCAAAAUAAAAAAUAAAUUUAAAAAGGCUGGAGAUGUGGCUCAGUGGUAGAGUACCCUGGGUUCAAUCCCCGGUACCAAAAAACCUCAACCAACCGACUAUCAAAACAAAACUCACCAAUGAGUCAGACUGCUGAUGGUCAUCAGGCUGGGCACAGAACACCAGAGGACAGCUGGAGCGAGGCCUGGGGCUGGGCGGGUGGAGUGACAGAGGAUGGGUAGGCUGCUCUUCCAGUCACUGCUCCCUGCACAGCUGGGGAUGGAGAGGGUGACAAAGGGCCUGCCUUCUGUGUUUGGACCCAGGCUCUACUGCUGGCCUGUGACUGGG